AGAGUUUGAUCCUGGCUCAGGAUGAACGCUGGCGGCGUGCCUAAUACAUGCAAGUCGAACGCACAGCGAAAGGUGCUUGCACCUUUCAAGUGAGUGGCGAACGGGUGAGUAACACGUGGAUAACCUACCUCAAGGUUGGGGAUAACAUUUGGAAACAGAUGCUAAUACCGAAUAAAACUUCGUAUCGCAUGAUACAAGGUUAAAAGGCGCUACGGCGUCACCUAGAGAUGGAUCCGCGGUGCAUUAGUUAGUUGGUGGGGUAAAGGCCUACCAAGACAAUGAUGCAUAGCCGAGUUGAGAGACUGAUCGGCCACAUUGGGACUGAGACACGGCCCAAACUCCUACGGGAGGCUGCAGUAGGGAAUCUUCCACAAUGGGCGAAAGCCUGAUGGAGCAACGCCGCGUGUGAUGAAGGCUUUCGGGUCGUAAGGCACUGUUGUAUGGGAAGAACAGCUAGAGUAGGGAAUGACUUUAGUUUGACGGUACCAUACCAGAAAGGGACGGCUAAAUACGUGCCAGCAGCCGCGGUAAUACGUAUGUCCCGAGCGUUAUCCGGAUUUAUUGGGCGUAAAGCGAGCGCAGACGGUUGAUUAAGUCUGAUGUGAAAGCCCGGAGCUCAACUCCGGAAAGGCAUUGGAAACUGGUCAACUUGAGUGCAGUAGAGGUAAGUGGAACUCCAUGUGUAGCGGUGGAAUGCGUAGAUAUAUGGAAGAACACCAGCGGCGAAGGCGGCUUACUGGACUGUAACUGACGUUGAGGCUCGAAAGUGUGGGUAGCAAACAGAAUUAGAUACCCUGGUAGUCCACACCGUAAACGAU
This 818-nucleotide ribosomal RNA is filed under the name uncultured bacterium. RNAcentral's name for it is "bacterial SSU rRNA". It matches the Rfam family "Bacterial small subunit ribosomal RNA", at positions 8 to 810 of the family's 1533-position model. The record is from RNAcentral.